AAUGCUGCAAUCAAUAACUUUAUACACAUGUCAUUUCAUGUGAUUGUGAUUAUAUAUGUAGGAAAAAUUCCACAAAAGUGAAAUAGCAGAAUACUAAGGGCAUAUGCAUUUGUUGUUUUGAUAGACGCUGAAUGGCCCUUCAUGAUGCUCUUGUCAAUGUAUUCUCCUACAAUGCGGAGAGUGCCUUUUUCCUCAGGCCCUCCCCAACACAGCCAGUUACUAAUGUUGUCUUUGAGUGUUUAAUAGUUGUGAGGUGGUAUCUCAAUGUUUUAAAAUUUAAACUACAGAAAUAAAAAAAAAAUACUGGAA
This 309-nucleotide long non-coding RNA is filed under the name Homo sapiens (human). Its description in RNAcentral is "non-protein coding lnc-HTR4-5:1". Lineage: Eukaryota; Metazoa; Chordata; Mammalia; Primates; Hominidae. The record is from RNAcentral.